UGGGGAAUUUUGGACAAUGGGCGAAAGCCUGAUCCAGCAAUGCCGCGUGAGUGAAGAAGGCCUUCGGGUUGUAAAGCUCUUUUGGUUGGGAAGAAAUCCUAAAGGCUAAUAUCCUUUGGGGAUGACGGUACCAAAAGAAUAAGCACCGGCUAACUACGUGCCAGCAGCCGCGGUAAUACGUAGGGUGCAAGCGUUAAUCGGAAUUACUGGGCGUAAAGCGUGCGCAGGCGGUUUUGUAAGACAGGUGUGAAAUCCUGGAGCUCAACUCCAGAACUGCCUUUGAUACUGGGAGUCUCGAGUUCGGGAGAGGUGAGUGGAACUGCGAGUGUAGAGGUGAAAUUCGUAGAUAUUCGCAAGAACACCAGUGGCGAAGGCGGCUCACUAGACAGUUUCUGACGCUAAGAUACGAAAGCUAGGGUAGCAAACA
Molecule: ribosomal RNA, 427 nt
Filed under: uncultured prokaryote
Description: bacterial SSU rRNA
Rfam family: Bacterial small subunit ribosomal RNA
Source: RNAcentral